Non-coding RNA from Pelobates cultripes (western spadefoot toad), 254 nucleotides. The record is from the annotation of a GenBank genome assembly. NCBI's taxonomy places the organism in Eukaryota, Metazoa, Chordata, Amphibia, Anura, Pelobatidae.
GGAGUUUUUCUGAUUGAGAACUUUGAUAGCAUCUGCUAUAUCUACAGCAAGCUGUUCUGCUGCUUCUCUUGUGAGAGAGGGGAGAGAUAUCCUGGCCAAGAAAUCCUGUAUGAUCAAUAUAAAUAUGGUUGGAAAUUCCCAUAUUUGGGGAGUGUGGUCAUAUAGACUUAUAAAAUAAGUUUGGAAAGUCUUGGCUAUUUUAGAGGAGAUGUUGGUCAGAGUCCGCUGGGUGGUUUUAGUCUAGUUGAUUUGUU